GCCAGGAUGUUGGCUUAGAAGCAGCCAUCAUUUAAAGAAAGCGUAAUAGCUCACUGGUCGAGUCGGCCUGCGCGGAAGAUGUAACGGGGCUAAACCAUGCACCGAAGCUGCGGCAGCGAACGUAUCACUUAAAGCGAUUCAGCGGGUUACGAUUGACGGAGCGAAGCGACGUCAAAGCGUAUACAAAGUCGAGUCGGUUUAAGGAUACGUUCGUUGGGUAGGGGAGCGUUCUGUAAGCCUGUGAAGGUGUGUCGUGAGGCAUGCUGGAGGUAUCAGAAGUGCGAAUGCUGACAUAAGUAACGAUAAAGCGGGUGAAAAGCCCGCUCGCCGGAAGACCAAGGGUUCCUGUCCAACGUUAAUCGGGGCAGGGUGAGUCGACCCCUAAGGCGAGGCCGAAAGGCGUAGUCGAUGGGAAACGGGUUAAUAUUCCCGUACUUGGUGUUACUGCGAAGGGGGGACGGAGAAGGCUAUGUUGGCCGGGCGACGGUUGUCCCGGUUUAAGCGUGUAGGCUGGUUUUCCAGGCAAAUCCGGAAAAUCAAGGCUGAGGCGUGAUGACGAGGCACUACGGUGCUGAAGCAACAAAUGCCCUGCUUCCAGGAAAAGCCUCUAAGCAUCAGGUAACAUCAAAUCGUACCCCAAACCGACACAGGUGGUCAGGUAGAGAAUACCAAGGCGCUUGAGAGAACUCGGGUGAAGGAACUAGGCAAAAUGGUGCCGUAACUUCGGGAGAAGGCACGCUGACACGUAGGUGAAGUGAUUUACUCAUGGAGCUGAAGUCAGUCGAAGAUACCAGCUGGCUGCAACUGUUUAUUAAAAACACAGCACUGUGCAAACACGAAAGUGGACGUAUACGGUGUGACGCCUGCCCGGUGCCGGAAGGUUAAUUGAUGGGGUCAGCGCAAGCGAAGCUCCUGAUCGAAGCCCCGGUAAACGGCGGCCGUAACUAUAACGGUCCUAAGGU
This 962-nucleotide ribosomal RNA is filed under the name Salmonella enterica subsp. enterica serovar Oranienburg. RNAcentral describes it as "bacterial LSU rRNA". It matches the Rfam family "Bacterial large subunit ribosomal RNA", at positions 1092 to 1957 of the family's 2925-position model. The record is from RNAcentral. Lineage: Bacteria; Pseudomonadati; Pseudomonadota; Gammaproteobacteria; Enterobacterales; Enterobacteriaceae.